UAAGUACUCCCUCCGUCCCAAAAAUUUUGUCAUAGAUUUGUGUAGAUACGGAUGUAUCAACAUAUCUAUACGGAUGUAUCAAUGUAUCUACACAAAUCUAAAAUAAGAAUUUUGGGACGGAGGGAGUAUAUA
This is a non-coding RNA of Triticum aestivum (bread wheat), 132 nucleotides long. NCBI's taxonomy places the organism in Eukaryota, Viridiplantae, Streptophyta, Magnoliopsida, Poales, Poaceae. The record is from Rfam.